This 497-nucleotide ribosomal RNA is filed under the name uncultured bacterium. Its description in RNAcentral is "partial 16S ribosomal RNA". It matches the Rfam family "Bacterial small subunit ribosomal RNA", at positions 28 to 507 of the family's 1533-position model. The record is from RNAcentral.
GAUGAACGCUGGCGGCGUGCCUAAUACAUGCGAGUCGAGCGAACGGACGAGAAGCUUGCUUCUCUGAUGUUAGCGGCGGACGGGUGAGUAACACGUGGCUAACCUACCUAUAAGACUGGGAUAACUUCGGGAAACCGGAGCUAAUACCGGAUCAUAUUUUGAACCGCAUGGUUCAAAAGUGAAAGACGGUCUUGCUGUCACUUAUAGAUGGAUCCGCGCUGGAUUAGCUAGUUGGUAAGGUAACGGCUUACCAAGGCAACGAUGCAUAGCCGACCUAAGAGGGUGAUCGGCCACACUGGAACUGAGACACGGUCCAGACUCCUACGGGAGGCAGCAGUAGGGAAUCCUCCGCAAUGGGCGAAAGCCUGACGGAGCAACGCCGCGUGAGUGAUGAAGGUCUUCGGAUCGUAAAACUCUGUUAUUAGGGAAGAACAUAUGUGUAAGUAACUGUGCACAUCUUGACGGUACCUAAUCAGAAAGCCACGGCUAACUACGUG